This 416-nucleotide ribosomal RNA is filed under the name Blastocystis sp. Its description in RNAcentral is "SSU rRNA". It matches the Rfam family "Eukaryotic small subunit ribosomal RNA", at positions 47 to 583 of the family's 1831-position model. Lineage: Eukaryota; Bigyra; Opalinata; Blastocystidae. The record is from RNAcentral.
GGCCAUGCAUGUGUAAGUAUAAAUAAUUCUACUUUGAAACUGCGAAUGGCUCAUUAUAUCAUNAUAUAGUUUAUUAGAAAUAGUUUUCUACUUGGAUAACCNUAAGAAAAUUCUAGGGCUAAUACAUGAGUAAAUCCGUUUCUGCCCUAUCAGCUUUCGAUGGUAGUGUAUUGGACUACCAUGGCAGUAACGGGUAACGAAGAAUUUGGGUUCGAUUUCGGAGAGGGAGCCUGAGAGAUGGCUACCACAUCCAAGGAAGGCAGCAGGCGCGUAAAUUACCCAAUCCUGACAUAGGGAGGUAGUGACAAUAAAUCACAAUGCGGGACUUUUUAGUUUUGCAAUUGGAUUGAGAACAAUGUACAAGAGUUAUCGAUAAACAAUUGGAGGGCAAGUCUGGUGCCAGCAGCCNCGNUAAU